Molecule: non-coding RNA, 74 nt
Organism: Paramuricea clavata
Lineage: Eukaryota; Metazoa; Cnidaria; Anthozoa; Malacalcyonacea; Plexauridae
Source: the annotation of a GenBank genome assembly
AUUUAGUUCUCUGGAUUCUAAUUUAAAUGUUUUUUAAUGUUAAAACAUUUAAAUUAGAAUCCAGAGAACUAAAU